RNAcentral lists this ribosomal RNA (405 nucleotides) under Triticum aestivum (bread wheat). RNAcentral describes it as "partial small subunit ribosomal RNA". The record is from RNAcentral. Lineage: Eukaryota; Viridiplantae; Streptophyta; Magnoliopsida; Poales; Poaceae.
GCCACAUACUCGGCCCAAUCUUGCUACGCUGCCACCUUCCAGGGAUCUACACGUUGCCACUCAUGGAAGCUGAUUUGGAAGAGUUGGGCGCCACCCUGCGUCAAAUUCUUCCACUGGCUUACCUACCAGGACCGUUGUUGGAUGGCGUCGAGACUGGCGAGCCGCGGCCUGCAUCACCACCCUAGGUGCCUCCUUUGCGACCAAGACCCAGAGACCAUCCAACACUUGCUACUGGCAUGCCCAUUUGCUAAGCAGACCCGGCACAUCAUCCUAGACUGGGCGCACAUCCCUGCCCAAACGCCAGCCAAUGAAACCACCUUGAUGGACUGGUGGCUGCGAGCGAAGGCGCAAACCCCUCCUACACUACGCAAAGCUCUGCAAUCGAUCACACUGCUCGUCCCCUAG